Non-coding RNA from Amphiprion ocellaris (clown anemonefish), 929 nucleotides. The record is from the annotation of a RefSeq genome assembly. NCBI's taxonomy places the organism in Eukaryota, Metazoa, Chordata, Actinopteri, Pomacentridae.
CACUGCAGGACUCACAUCUGUCAGUCAACACAGCAGAAAGCACAACCACCAUGACUCUCAUCUCCAUCCUCAUCUGGACGCUGCUCUGCUGCUGUUUUACAGGAUGCAGCAGUCAGGUGACUGUGACUCAACCUCCAGUAGUGACAUUUACUCCAGGAUCCACUGUCACUCUGACCUGUAAGACCAGCCAGGAUGUUUUUAGAUGGUCUGAUGGUGAUGAGGGUAUAGCCUGGUAUCAACACAAAUCUGGACAGACUCCGAAGCUCCUUGUAAAAUAUGCGAAAAAGCUUGAGUCAGGAACUCCAUCUCGGUUUAGUGGCAGUGGAAGCAGCUCUGACUUCACGUUGACCAUCAGUGGAGUUCAGACUGAAGAUGCAGCAGUUUACUACUGUCAGAGUUACCACAGCCGUGGAGUGUUCACACAGUGAUUUAUGGUCGUACAAAAACCUCCUCAGUCAGACUGCAGAGACUCUGAACUGUUACAGCAGGAACCAAGUGCAGCUGCUGAAGAGGAAGAAACUCUGACACAGACCACUGAACACAGAGCUGACAGGAACCUCACCAAGCACCAAACACACAUUUACACUGAAAUUAAUUCAGCUGUAAUUCAAGUUUAUAUAAAACAAGAUUUGUUAUGUAUUAUGUUCCCUCUAACUUGAAGAGACAAAAGUGGAUGAUUACAUAUUUGAAUAAUAGAUUUUUCUCUCUAAAAAUGUGCUUCACAUGAUUGCUUCAGUUUCUAAUCCUGAUCAACAGAUUUUCCCAUGAAAUACACAUGAUGUUAGUUUCAUUUUAGAAAGGAGAAACAUUUCCUCCAUCAGUAACAAGUAUCAGGUUCUAAAGUUUCAUCCAGUCCCUGAAUCUCUUCCAGAGCUGCUCAGAGGAUGGAGGCAGCAGAGAGACUGAAGGUCUGGAAUGACAUUGUUGUC